RNAcentral lists this ribosomal RNA (492 nucleotides) under uncultured bacterium. Its description in RNAcentral is "partial 16S ribosomal RNA". It matches the Rfam family "Bacterial small subunit ribosomal RNA", at positions 29 to 507 of the family's 1533-position model. The record is from RNAcentral.
AGUGAACGCUGGCGGUAGGCCUAACACAUGCAAGUAGAACGGCAGCACAGUAAGAGCUUGCUCUUACGGGUGGCGAGUGGCGGACGGGUGAGGAAUACAUCGGAAUCUACUUUUUCGUGGGGGAUAACGUAGGGAAACUUACGCUAAUACCGCAUACGACCUACGGGUGAAAGCAGGGGAUCUUCGGACCUUGCGCGAUUGAAUGAGCCGAUGUCGGAUUAGCUAGUUGGCGGGGUAAAGGCCCACCAAGGCGACGAUCCGUAGCUGGUCUGAGAGGAUGAUCGGCCACACUGGAACUGAGACACGGUCCAGACUCCUACGGGAGGCAGCAGUGGGGAAUAUUGGACAAUGGGCGCAAGCCUGAUCCAGCCAUACCGCGUGGGUGAAGAAGGCCUUCGGGUUGUAAAGCCCUUUUGUUGGGAAAGAAAAGCAGCAGGUUAAUACCCCGCUGUUCUGACGGUACCCAAAGAAUAAGCACCGGCUAACUUCGUG